GAAGCGGCCACACCCGGCUGGCAACAUCCAGCUCCACUCCGAACCUGGAAAUUAAGCAGUCGCGGGCCACAUCAGUACUGGGCUGGGCGACUUCCCGGGAACGUGCGGUGCUUGCUUCUUUUUCCUUUUUGCGCGGUGCAGGGCUAUUGCCCUGCACCAAUACUACACUCUACACCUAUGUUUGUCCCUGCUAAAACUCUUAUAUGUUGAGAUAUUUAUAAUUUUAUAUUUUUUAUUAAAAAAUGAAAAUUUUUCAUAAGCGAGACUCCCUCCGCUGGAGGAAAUUGAGAGUGGUAAUGGUAGUGUGAAUAGUGUGUGACGAACAAUCCUUUC
This 333-nucleotide ribosomal RNA is filed under the name Trichomonas vaginalis G3. Lineage: Eukaryota; Parabasalia; Trichomonadida; Trichomonadidae. The record is from RNAcentral.